GACGAACGCUGGCGGCGUGCUUAACACAUGCAAGUCGAACGAAGAGCGAUGGAAGCUUGCUUCUAUCAAUAUUAGUGGCGAACGGGUGAGUAACGCGUAAUCAACCUGCCCUUCAGAGGGGGACAACAGUUGGAAACGACUGCUAAUACCGCAUACGAUCUGACCUCGGCAUCGAGGAUAGAUGAAAGGUGGCCUCUAUUUAUAAGCUAUCACUGAAGGAGGGGAUUGCGUUUGAUUAGCUAGUUGGAGGGGUAACGGCCCACCAAGGCGAUGAUCAGUAGCCGGUUUGAGAGGAUGAACGGCCACAUUGGGAUUGAGACACGGCCCAGACUCCUACGGGAGGCAGCAGUGGGGAAUUUUCCGCAAUGGACGAAAGUCUGACGGAGCAACGCCGCGUGAGUGAUGACGGCCUUCGGGUUGUAAAGCUCUGUUAAUCGGGAC
Molecule: ribosomal RNA, 441 nt
Filed under: Veillonella parvula
Lineage: Bacteria; Bacillati; Bacillota; Negativicutes; Veillonellales; Veillonellaceae
Description: bacterial SSU rRNA
Rfam family: Bacterial small subunit ribosomal RNA
Source: RNAcentral